RNAcentral lists this ribosomal RNA (815 nucleotides) under uncultured bacterium. Its description in RNAcentral is "bacterial SSU rRNA". It matches the Rfam family "Bacterial small subunit ribosomal RNA", at positions 8 to 796 of the family's 1533-position model. The record is from RNAcentral.
AGAGUUUGAUCAUGGCUCAGAACGAACGCUGGCGGCGUGGAUAAGACAUGCAAGUCGAACGCUCAUUUCAGGGUAGCAAUAUUCUGAAGUGGGAGUGGCGCAAGGGUGCGUAACACGUGGGUAAUCUGCCAUAAAGUUUGGGAUAACUCGCUGAAAGGCGAGCUAAUACCGGAUGUGAGAAUCGGGAGGCCUCUCCUGAUCCUCAAAGCUGGGGACCGCAAGGCCUGGCGCUUUAUGAUGAACCCGCGGCCUAUCAGCUAGUUGGUGAGGUAACGGCCCACCAAGGCUAAGACGGGUAGCUGGUCUGAGAGGACGACCAGCCACACUGGAACUGAGACACGGUCCAGACACCUACGGGUGGCAGCAGUCGAGAAUUUUUCACAAUGGGCGCAAGCCUGAUGGAGCGACGCCGCGUGGGGGAUGAAUGGCUUCGGCCCGUAAACCCCUGUCAUUUGCGAACAAACCUUGCUAUUUAAAAGAUGGCAAGUUGAUGGUAGCGAAAGAGGAAGGGACGGCUAACUCUGUGCCAGCAGCCGCGGUAAUACAGAGGUCCCAAGCGUUGUUCGGAUUCACUGGGCGUAAAGGGUGCGUAGGUGGCGGGGUAAGUCUGAUGUGAAAUCUCCAAGCUUAACUUGGAAAUGGCAUUGGAAACUACUCUGCUCGAGGGUUGGAGGGGGGACUGGAAUACUUGGUGUAGCAGUGAAAUGCGUAGAUAUCAAGUGGAACACCAGUGGCGAAGGCGAGUCCCUGGACAACUCCUGACACUGAGGCACGAAAGCUAGGGGAGCAAACAGGAUUAGAUACCCUAGUAGUCC